UACGGGGGGGGCAAGCGUUGUUCGGAAUUACUGGGCGUAAAGGGCUCGUAGGCGGCCAACUAAGUCGGACGUGAAAUCCCCAGGCUCAACCUGGGAACUGCGUCCGAUACUGGAUGGCUUGAAUCCGGGAGAGGGAUGCAGAAUUCCAGGUGUAGCGGUGAAAUGCGUAGAUAUCUGGAGGAAUACCGGUGGCGAAGGCGGCAUCCUGGACCAAUUCUGACGCUGAGUGAGCGAAAGCCAGGGGAGCAAACGGG
Molecule: ribosomal RNA, 254 nt
Filed under: uncultured bacterium
Lineage: Bacteria
Description: partial 16S ribosomal RNA
Rfam family: Bacterial small subunit ribosomal RNA
Source: RNAcentral